RNAcentral lists this ribosomal RNA (253 nucleotides) under uncultured bacterium. RNAcentral's name for it is "partial 16S ribosomal RNA". It matches the Rfam family "Bacterial small subunit ribosomal RNA", at positions 524 to 776 of the family's 1533-position model. The record is from RNAcentral.
GACGGAGGUCCCAAGCGUUGUUCGGAAUCACUGGGCUUAAAGCGCGUGUAGGCGGACAGGCAAGUACUUUGUGAAAUCCCCGGGCUCAACCCGGGAAUAGCUGGGUAUACUGCUUGUCUUGAGGCAGGUAGGGGUCACUGGAACCUUAGGUGGAGCGGUGAAAUGCGUAGAUAUCUAAGGGAACGCCUGUGGCGAAAGCGGGUGACUGGGCCUGCCCUGACGCUGAGACGCGAAAGCGUAGGGAGCAAACGGG